AUCGCUUCUCGGCCUUUUGGCUAAGAUCAAGUGAUAAUUUAGAGCUCUAUGAUUUUUGGAAAUUUUAUGAUGAAAUAUUAACUGUGGCAUGUCGACUAAGAUAUCAAAAUACUCGUAAGGAAUUUCUGCAUCCAAUGGUAGCAAUUUCAAC
Paramuricea clavata is the source of this 151-nucleotide non-coding RNA. The record is from the annotation of a GenBank genome assembly. NCBI's taxonomy places the organism in Eukaryota, Metazoa, Cnidaria, Anthozoa, Malacalcyonacea, Plexauridae.